CUUGACAUCCUUUGACCACUCUGGAGACAGAGCUUUCCCUUCGGGGACAAAGUGACAGGUGGUGCAUGGUUGUCGUCAGCUCGUGUCGUGAGAUGUUGGGUUAAGUCCCGCAACGAGCGCAACCCUUGAUUUUAGUUGCCAGCAUUUAGUUGGGCACUCUAAAGUGACUGCCGGUGCAAGCCGGAGGAAGGUGGGGAUGACGUCAAAUCAUCAUGCCCCUUAUGACCUGGGCUACACACGUGCUACAAUGGAUAGUACAAAGGGUCGCGAAGCCGCGAGGUGGAGCUAAUCCCAUAAAACUAUUCUCAGUUCGGAUUGUAGGCUGCAACUCGCCUACAUGAAGCCGGAAUCGCUAGUAAUCGUGGAUCAGCAUGCCACGGUGAAUACGUUCCCGGGCCUUGUACACACCGCCCGUCACACCACGAGAGUUUGUAACACCCGAAGUCGGUAGGGUAACCUUUAUGGAGCCAGCCGCCGAAGG
This 481-nucleotide ribosomal RNA is filed under the name Listeria monocytogenes. RNAcentral's name for it is "bacterial SSU rRNA". It matches the Rfam family "Bacterial small subunit ribosomal RNA", at positions 980 to 1462 of the family's 1533-position model. Lineage: Bacteria; Bacillati; Bacillota; Bacilli; Caryophanales; Listeriaceae. The record is from RNAcentral.